This 700-nucleotide ribosomal RNA is filed under the name uncultured beta proteobacterium. Its description in RNAcentral is "bacterial SSU rRNA". It matches the Rfam family "Bacterial small subunit ribosomal RNA", at positions 83 to 779 of the family's 1533-position model. The record is from RNAcentral. Lineage: Bacteria; Pseudomonadati; Pseudomonadota; Betaproteobacteria.
GGAUGCUGACGAGUGGCGAACGGGUGAGUAAUACAUCGGAACGUGCCCAGUAAUGGGGGAUAGCUCGGCGAAAGCCGGAUUAAUACCGCAUACGCCCUGAGGGGGAAAGUGGGGGACCGCAAGGCCUCACGUUAUUGGAGCGGCCGAUGGCUGACUAGCUAGUUGGUAGAGUAAAGGCCUACCAAGGCGACGAUCAGUAGCUGGUCUGAGAGGACGAUCAGCCACACUGGGACUGAGACACGGCCCAGACUCCUACGGGAGGCAGCAGUGGGGAAUUUUGGACAAUGGGGGAAACCCUGAUCCAGCAAUGCCGCGUGUGCGAAGAAGGCCUUCGGGUUGUAAAGCACUUUUGUCAGGGAAGAAAUCCUUUGGGCUAAUACCCUAGGGGGAUGACGGUACCUGAAGAAUAAGCACCGGCUAACUACGUGCCAGCAGCCGCGGUAAUACGUAGGGUGCAAGCGUUAAUCGGAAUUACUGGGCGUAAAGCGUGCGCAGGCGGUUGUGUAAGACAGGUAUGAAAUCCCCGGGCUUAACCUGGGAAUUGCAUUUGUGACUGCACGACUAGAGUGUGUCAGAGGGGGGUGGAAUUCCACGUGUAGCAGUGAAAUGCGUAGAUAUGUGGAGGAACACCAAUGGCGAAGGCAGCCCCCUGGGAUAACACUGACGCUCAUGCACGAAAGCGUGGGGAGCAAACAGGAUU